GUCAUAAUCCUCUGUGGCAACAGAAUUUUCUUCAGAGCAACUAAUAGGGAUGUCACAGGGAAUUAGGAUUUUGGAUUAGGGAGCAAAGUGACAGAAGCACAGGAAGGAUUAUAAAACAUGAAGAUUGUGUUACCACGCACAUGCCCUUUAGUGCUAACUAACAAGGAAAGAAGAUGACAAACAACUUAUAUAUAAAGCAGUAGAAUUGUUUCUAAAUUACCAGUGCCAUCAGGACUCAGCUGAGCCUGGUGCAUUGCCUUCUUCGUGCCACACUGGAAAGAGGAAUAGGCUACGCCUACCAACAAAGGCAUCUCCUUUGGAACGUGAAAUGGCAAACCAGGAUUCUUCAAUAUCCUUUUUAUGUCUGCAUCUCUAAUAUUUACAGCUCAGUAUCCAAGGACUUGCAGGAUCUGAGAUUUGCUGGGUCUCCCUCCCUGGGAAAGAGACCAGUACUACAUUUUUUUUCACCUACCUAUCCAGAUGUAUUGUUUGUCUAUUAGUUUUUUUACUAAGAAUUUGAAGAAAAUCGCUUUUGAAGAGUAUAAUAGCCUGAUCUCGUAUCUGUAUUCUGCUUAGACAAAUUGCUUUGUCUACCCUCUUCCCUACAGUAUCAGUUGUAUGGUACAUUUCUCUUUGCCCUGAAAUUAAAAAAAAAUAAUAAUUCUACUGUUACAUGUUGCUAAAACUUCCAUGUUUCACUGGCAAGAAAAGUCAUUCCUUCUGUAUCGUUUGAAAGCUCUUUGAAGGAAAAGGAA
Long non-coding RNA from Cyanistes caeruleus (blue tit), 755 nucleotides. RefSeq lists it as uncharacterized. NCBI's taxonomy places the organism in Eukaryota, Metazoa, Chordata, Aves, Passeriformes, Paridae. The record is from RefSeq and is a predicted model, not a curated record.